This is a non-coding RNA of Paramuricea clavata, 408 nucleotides long. NCBI's taxonomy places the organism in Eukaryota, Metazoa, Cnidaria, Anthozoa, Malacalcyonacea, Plexauridae. The record is from the annotation of a GenBank genome assembly.
UUUAAUGCCCUUUUUUGUAUUUUUUCAACUUGAUCACUCAGGUAAUGAGGAAGGCCAUAAUGCCACACCUGACAAGCAUAUUCGACAAUUGGUCGAAUAUGUGUACAAUAGGUUGAGAUCAGAAUAUGAGAAGGUAAAGCAUUUCCUUUAAGAAGGCGCAGACCGUAGAAACGCUUCGCGGCUUUCUUGCAAAUGUAGUCAAUAUGGCAGUUCCAUUUGAGGUCGUCCGAAAGGACAACGCCCAAUAGUUUGGCCUCAGAAACGACGUCGACCUCUUGACCGCGAAUGGUAAUAGGGGCAAACGAUGGAGUAAGCUUAGAAAAGCAGACACGCAAUUCUUUGGUCUUUGAUACGUUUAACUUCAUAUUAUUGUCUGAUGACCAUUCAGAGCAGCUGAUGAUGUUAGCG